RNAcentral lists this ribosomal RNA (118 nucleotides) under Escherichia coli. RNAcentral's name for it is "partial 23S ribosomal RNA". The stretch from base 1 to 106 matches the Rfam family "Bacterial large subunit ribosomal RNA", at positions 2820 to 2925 of the family's 2925-position model. Lineage: Bacteria; Pseudomonadati; Pseudomonadota; Gammaproteobacteria; Enterobacterales; Enterobacteriaceae. The record is from RNAcentral.
GAGGGUCCUGAAGGAACGUUGAAGACGACGACGUUGAUAGGCCGGGUGUGUAAGCGCAGCGAUGCGUUGAGCUAACCGGUACUAAUGAACCGUGAGGCUUAACCUUACAACGCCGAAG